RNAcentral lists this ribosomal RNA (1566 nucleotides) under Triticum aestivum (bread wheat). Its description in RNAcentral is "partial small subunit ribosomal RNA". The record is from RNAcentral. Lineage: Eukaryota; Viridiplantae; Streptophyta; Magnoliopsida; Poales; Poaceae.
AUGCGGGAGGCCGGCAUCACGAAGCCCACCGAGAUCCAGUGCGUCGGCGUGCCCGCCGUGCUCUCCGGCACCAGUGUCGUGCUUGGCUCGCACACCGGCUCCGGGAAGACGCUCGCCUACUUGCUCCCUCUUGUUCAGCUACUGCGUCAUGAUGAAGCGACACUGGGCAUGUCAAUGAAGCCAAGGCGGCCAAGAGCUGUAGUUUUAUGCCCAACAAGGGAGCUGACCGAGCAGGUCUUCCGUGUUGCAAAGUCCAUAAGUCAUCAUGCACGUUUUCGGUCAAUAAUGGUUAGUGGAGGCACUCGUCUAAAACCGCAGGAAGAUUCUUUGAACAUGCCUGUUGACAUGGUUGUUGGGACACCUGGAAGGAUCCUUGAUCAUAUUAAGGAGGGCAAUAUCGUUUACGGUGACAUUAAAUAUCUGGUUCUGGAUGAGGCAGAUACAAUGUUUGAUCAAGGUUUUGGAGAAGACAUACGGAAGUUUCUUGCUCCUUUGAAGAAUCGUGCUUCAAAGCCUGGUGAUCAAGGGUUCCAAACCAUAUUGGUUUCUGCCACCAUGACCAAGGGGGUACAAAAGCUGAUCGAUGAGGAAUUUGAAGGUAUUGAGCAUUUACGGACAUCAACCUUUCAAAAGAGAAUUGCAACUGCACGGCAUGACUUCAUCAAACUUUCUGGUUCAGAAAACAAACUUGAGGCUCUCCUCCAGGUUCUUGAGCCAAGCUUAGCAAAAGGAAACAAAGUUAUUGUGUUUUGCAACACUUUGAAUUCAAGUCGUGCAGUGGAUCAUUUUCUUACUGAAAAUCAUAUAUCUACUGUGAACUACCACGGAGAGGUCCCUGCGGAGGAGAGAGUUGAGAACCUAAACAAGUUCCGGAAUGAAGAGGGUGAUUGCCCAACAUUAGUCUGCACUGAUCUGGCAGCUAGAGGACUAGACUUGGAGGUUGACCAUGUCAUCAUGUUUGACUUCCCAAAAAAUUCUAUUGAUUAUCUCCACAGAACUGGGAGAACAGCGCGUAUGGGAGCCAAAGGGAAAGUUACAAGCCUUAUCGCAAAGAAAGAUGUGGGUUUAGCGACAAGGAUAGAGGAUGCCAUGAAGAAAAACGAGAGCUUAGAAUCGCUGACGACUAGCAACGUCAAGAGGGAUUCCGCCAACUCUCAAAACCCAGGCACCAAAGGAAGGACUUCUGCAAGGUCGGCAAGGAGUUCAGAUGCUCCGAGGGCUGCUAGCCAGAAGGGUAACAAAAGGGGAGUCACACUGUCGAGAAGGCCGCCAAAGGUCGCCAUCAAGGACACAACUUCGACCAGGAAGCGCUCGUCGACCAAGAGCCAGCCAUCUUCGUCCAGGAAGCACUCGCCGUCUAAGAACCCGCCUAAGGCCAGGCCGGCAGAGGCCAGAAAGGCCAAGCCGGUGAGAGCUGGUAGCAGCAAGGGUGGCGAGAAGGUCGGGAAGAGCGGCAAGGCCAGGCCGGAGGGCGGGAAGGGGGAUGCUCUGAAUAAGGUGGGAAGUAAGCUGAGCGUGGUUGGAUUCAGAGGGCGCAGCACCGGGAAAUCGGCGCAGGCUUCAUGA